RNAcentral lists this ribosomal RNA (450 nucleotides) under uncultured bacterium. Its description in RNAcentral is "partial 16S ribosomal RNA". It matches the Rfam family "Bacterial small subunit ribosomal RNA", at positions 354 to 796 of the family's 1533-position model. The record is from RNAcentral.
GUGGGGAAUAUUGGACAAUGGGCGAAAGCCUGAUCCAGCCAUGCCGCGUGUGUGAAGAAGGUCUUCGGAUUGUAAAGCACUUUAAGUUGGGAGGAAGGGCAGUAAGUUAAUACCUUGCUGUUUUGACGUUACCGACAGAAUAAGCACCGGCUAACUUCGUGCCAGCAGCCGCGGUAAUACGAAGGGUGCAAGCGUUAAUCGGAAUUACUGGGCGUAAAGCGCGCGUAGGUGGUUUUGUAAGUUGGAGGUGAAAUCCCCGGGCUCAACCUGGGAACUGCCUCCAAAACUGCAUGACUUGAGUACGGUAGAGGGUAGUGGAAUUUCCUGUGUAGCGGUGAAAUGCGUAGAUAUAGGAAGGAACACCAGUGGCGAAGGCGACUACCUGGACUGAUACUGACACUGAGGUGCGAAAGCGUGGGGAGCAAACAGGAUUAGAAACCCCGGUAGUCC